CAUCCCCAUGAGACUUGUUUAUGUACUUGAUUGAUUUUGAUAAUUCUUGGUGCCUUCUGCAGGGGCAAGCCCUUUGCAUCGAGCGCGUGGAAGGCCAGGAUGUCUGCUACCUAAGUUGCUCUUGCAGUGUCCUGACAGAUGCUGAAGCCUAUGAAGGAGGCUGGAAAUGGCAGGGAAGCCACAGUAAGUAUAGUGAGUCAUGCCACUCUAAUUGUGAGCCCUCAGUAGAAUCCUAAAUAAAUAUAACUCGCAUACUUUGCACACUAAUCACCUUUAGUAGUGAUACAACUCAUGGAUAAUUUUAGAACCUUUUUCUAGGGCAUGUUGCAAGUACCUGGGCACAGUAGAGCCAGCGUUACCUGGCUAUAUGCCUUGCCCUGUUCGGAAGACAGCCUGUGCUGGCGGCUAACAAAGGAGCCGAUGUCUCUUGGCCUUUUCUAUGGGUCCUUGCCCAGGGCUACCUGUUACUGGUAUUUGAGUAAUUCCAAACUGUGCACGAUAGCAGGGUUUUUCCUGAACGGUCUCAAAAAUUGACUCAUUCCCUCCCUUUCUCUUAGUUAUCCUAGAAAAUUGGGAUGGAUGGGCAGACAUGGGAAAUACGGUCCUUGUUUUCUCCUUACAGAUAGUCCUGAAACUGUCGUACUGUCACUAAAAUAGCUGCGUGGUCACUUUUAUCUAGAGGACAGGAGCAUCUAAGGUUAAGAGUUAAGCUAAAACUGUACAAAAGUUGCUGGUAUUUCUUUCUAUGGUGCUAAAAUGAUUAUGAGAAAAAUAAUGUAUUUUAUUUUUAAGGAAGCACACGUUAAUAUGGGCAUCUCGGAUUGCAUUUUCUCCUCUCGUAUUGUAUUCUAGAUUCACUCUUUGCCCUUAAGAAGAUGAUUUCAAGGCCAGCAAUUACACAGUUAGGAAUAACAAGUCUCAUGAAUCAAUUUCAUUGAAACGUUUGUUUAAAUUGUCUGCCUUUAGAAAUAGAAACCAAUUAGUUGUUUGAGAAAAGUUCUGAGAAAUACAAGAAUCAUGGGGACAAGAGAGCAGAAGGAUGUGGUGACAGAUUAGUCUCUGCUUUUUCUACUCUACGUUUUACAUAGAGUAUACUUUUUGAAGUUCAUGAUACAAUAAAUCACUUAAAUGUCUUUUAUGUGUGUUUAUCCUCGGCACAAUGUUUCUGCUAGUUGGAUUGUAGUUUGCUUUUGUGAAGAAUUGAUUCUGGGGCAAGAGUCUGCUCAACCUUUGUAGUGGGUAAGUUAACUGGAGGAGAUGCAGGGUGGAGGUUACUUUUUCCCAUCAUAGCCAGGGAACCAGAAUAAAACAAACAUCUCCAAAUUGCUGUCCUUCUGGGUUAGAGUCUUACCUUUGCUUUUUCAAGGUGUAUAGAAGAAUCCUUCUUUGAUUUUCUGAGCUACGAGCAGCUCUCAAAAACAGGGAUUUAUAUUUUUGGUCUCUGCAAUGUCUUUAUUAUAGCAUAAAAAAAGUGUAAGGUUAGGAGACAUGGAAAAUGUGUUUCUCUGGGAAAUUCUGGAUAUGUAGUAAAAAGAGAACUUCUAGAUCAGGAGUUUUAAAAAUCUUCUUGAACAAAACAUAACUUAGAUAUCAGAGACAAAAUAAUGUAGUUCGAACCAGGUCCUACUUCCAUCUGUCCUUUGUAUGUGGAGCAUUGAGAAAAAUUAAGAAUUUCUCUGGAGAAAAGGAAUCAUAGAUAUGAAAUUAACAAUGAUAAAAAGGAUAUAUAGGUGCAAAAUAGACAAAAAUACUUUACAGAAAAUGCAGAAGCAGGAUCCUUACAUUCUAACUGUGGGGAGUAAGGAAGCACUCUAGAGAGGAGUUGGUAUUUCAGUAAGAUUCAGAAUAUUUUAACAGGUUGAGAAUUGGAGAAGGGGGAGUAUUUCAAGUGGAGGCAAUGCUUAAGCACAAAGGCAUGAAAGGCCUUGCUACUGAGAAUACUCACUUCCCAGAGGCAUUAAAUACAAGUAGAGUAAGUCCAGGUUUUUUUUUUUUCUCACCAUGACCUAACAGCAAAAUAUGCAAUCUGCAUCAAGUUAGUUUCUUACGUGCAAAAUCAGAUGUAGAUCGCUGUCUCAGGAUGACACCUCAAAGUCCUCAGACAUCAGAGGACAUAAGCAUUGACCAAAAUUGAACAGAGCUCUGGGAGGGAGGAAAGGCUUCAGUCAGAUUUUGUCGUAUUCUAUAAAUGGAUUUUUCAGAUUACUUGGAAUUUUGGAGUUAUCUUUUUUUUUAUUCUGAGUAUCAUUCAUAGAGCUUGAAAAUGAAAAAAAAAAAGUUUUUUAGAGCCUAUUCCCUAUGGAAAGAAGCAUCCCUUUGUGAGUAUUGGUGAUCAGGAUUAGUGGUUAGUGAUUACUACUAUGAAUUUUCAACAGCAGGCACACUGAAUUUUCAGUACUUGUUAACAUUUCACUUAAAACAGGCUAGGCAGACACCUAGACAAGAAAGAGUUGCUCUGG
This 2459-nucleotide long non-coding RNA is filed under the name Callithrix jacchus (white-tufted-ear marmoset). RNAcentral describes it as "lncRNA (ENSCJAG00000081227.1)". Lineage: Eukaryota; Metazoa; Chordata; Mammalia; Primates; Cebidae. The record is from RNAcentral.